GGAAGGAAGGAAGGAAGGAAGGAAGGAAGGAAGGAAGGAAGGAAGGAAGGAAGGAAGGAAGGAAGGAAGGAAGGAAGGAAGGACAUGCAUUCAGGGAUGUCACUUGAUAUACCUCCUUCAGUGUCCAAUCAGAGUCCAAUUGGAUCAACACAAGGAUUCAGAUUGGUUGGAUAUUUUUUGCAUGCCAGUGUACAUACAUUGUAACAGAUUGUUGCUGGAGCGGGCAGUUGUUUACGAAAGUGGAAUGUACGCAAGACAGAUUCCAAUGUUUAAAUAUGAAAUAUUUGCCCUUGAAGGAAGCCAUCCUUUUCUCAGAAAGAGGUGUGCACUUAAGGUUUGUUUUUGUUGCUGCAACCGCUCUCGUAGUGUUUUUUUGCUAAAGCUCUUUUCAGAAUAACUUUUUCCUUCUUUAAAGUAAAAAAAAAAAGAAUAAAUGGUGAGUGUUUGAGUGCCUGUAUGUGUUGCUGCUUGACGGUGUGAAAUGCUUUUAGUUUCCUAUUAUCGGGCCUGUGAAGCCUGUGCCCUCCAACCAUACUGUAGCCUGAGCUGCGUUUGCAACACAGAACUAUCAGUGCUCUUUUUAACGUUUUUGCAACACUGACACUGGUUUAAUAGUGCAAGGCCGAAGCGUUGCAGUUCUGAAUGCACCCUUUAAUGCUUUCUAUAGAAAGAAUUAUAUCACCCACUCUCUGCCUCACGGACAAGACACUACAUGUCCCAGACACCCUCAGCCCAGACACUACGUUACCCAGACACCCUCAGCCCAGACACUACGUUACCCAGACAUCCUCAGCCCAGACACUACGUCGCCCAGACACUACGUCGCCCAGACACUACGUUACCCAGACACCCUCAGCCCAGACACUACGUCGCCCAGACACUACGUCAUCCAGACAUCCUCAGCCCAGACACUAUGUUGCCCAGACACCCUCAGCCCAGACACUACGUUACCCAGACACCCUCAGCCCAGACACUACGUUACCCAGACACCCUCAGCCCAGACACUACGUUACCCAGACACCCUCAGCCCAGACACUACGUUACCCAGACACCCUCAGCCCAGACACUACGUUACCCAGACACCCUCAGCCCAGACACUACGUUACCCAGACACCCUCAGCCCAGACACUACGUUACCCAGA
RNAcentral lists this long non-coding RNA (1142 nucleotides) under Salmo salar (Atlantic salmon). RNAcentral's name for it is "lncRNA (ENSSSAG00000095396.1)". Lineage: Eukaryota; Metazoa; Chordata; Actinopteri; Salmoniformes; Salmonidae. The record is from RNAcentral.